This 253-nucleotide ribosomal RNA is filed under the name uncultured bacterium. Its description in RNAcentral is "partial 16S ribosomal RNA". It matches the Rfam family "Bacterial small subunit ribosomal RNA", at positions 524 to 776 of the family's 1533-position model. The record is from RNAcentral.
UACAGAGGGGGCAAGCGUUGUUCGGAAUUACUGGGCGUAAAGGGCGCGUAGGCGGCCUUCUAAGUCGAACGUGAAAUCCCUGGGCUCAACCCAGGAACUGCGUCCGAUACUGGAAGGCUUGAAUCCGGGAGAGGGAUGCGGAAUUCCAGGUGUAGCGGUGAAAUGCGUAGAUAUCUGGAGGAACACCGGUGGCGAAGGCGGAUCUCUGGGCCUUACCUGACGCUGAGGCGCGAAAGCUAGGGGAGCGAACAGG